RNAcentral lists this ribosomal RNA (497 nucleotides) under uncultured bacterium. Its description in RNAcentral is "partial 16S ribosomal RNA". It matches the Rfam family "Bacterial small subunit ribosomal RNA", at positions 28 to 507 of the family's 1533-position model. The record is from RNAcentral.
GAUGAACGCUGGCGGCGUGCCUAAUACAUGCAAGUCGAGCGAACGGACGAGAAGCUUGCUUCUCUGAUGUUAGCGGCGGACGGGUGAGUAACACGUGGAUAACCUACCUAUAAGACUGGGAUAACUUCGGGAAACCGGAGCUAAUACCGGAUAAUAUUUUGAACCGCAUGGUUCCAAAGUGAAAGACGGUCUUGCUGUCACUUAUAGAUGGAUCCGCGCUGCAUUAGCUAGUUGGUAAGGUAACGGCUUACCAAGGCAACGAUGCAUAGCCGACCUGAGAGGGUGAUCGGCCACACUGGAACUGAGACACGGUCCAGACUCCUACGGGAGGCAGCAGUAGGGAAUCUUCCGCAAAGGGCGAAAGCCUGACGGAGCAACGCCGCGUGAGUGAUGAAGGUCUUCGGAUCGUAAAACUCUGUUAUUAGGGAAGAACAUAUGUGUAAGUAACUGUGCACAUCUUGACGGUACCUAAUCAGAAAGCCACGGCUAACUACGUG